This 79-nucleotide transfer RNA is filed under the name Penicillium coprophilum. It matches the Rfam family "tRNA". From Rfam's summary of the family: Transfer RNA (tRNA) molecules are approximately 80 nucleotides in length. Their secondary structure includes four short double-helical elements and three loops (D, anti-codon, and T loops). Lineage: Eukaryota; Fungi; Ascomycota; Eurotiomycetes; Eurotiales; Aspergillaceae. RNAcentral also lists the same sequence under 1 other name. The record is from Rfam by way of RNAcentral.
GCAAGUGUGGCCGAGUGGUUAAGGCGCGACGUUUAGGCCGUCGUUCUAACGAGCGUGGGUUCGAAUCCCACCGCUUGCA